RNAcentral lists this transfer RNA (78 nucleotides) under Mesorhizobium sp. M6A.T.Ce.TU.002.03.1.1. RNAcentral's name for it is "tRNA-Val". It matches the Rfam family "tRNA". Rfam says of the family: Transfer RNA (tRNA) molecules are approximately 80 nucleotides in length. Lineage: Bacteria; Pseudomonadati; Pseudomonadota; Alphaproteobacteria; Hyphomicrobiales; Phyllobacteriaceae. The record is from RNAcentral.
AGGUGAUUAGACCUCUAGGGAGUGAGCGCUUCGUUUACACCGAAGAUGUCGGCGGUUCGAGCCCGUCAUCGCCCACCA